Chlorocebus sabaeus (green monkey) is the source of this 1088-nucleotide long non-coding RNA. RefSeq lists it as uncharacterized. NCBI's taxonomy places the organism in Eukaryota, Metazoa, Chordata, Mammalia, Primates, Cercopithecidae. The record is from RefSeq and is a predicted model, not a curated record.
UCACUCCCCGAGUCCUUCCAAGAUACUUUGUUGGAGAGUUAGAGCUUCUUGGAACAUUAUUUGAAAAGCUCUGGACUAACUACUCUUCAAUGGCUCCAAAAUCUCUGUUUGUAAUAAACCUAGAAUUUAAGAGCUUCAUCAAGAAAGAGAAGAAUCUCACCCAGUGUUAUGGAUUGAAUUCCAUCCCCUCAAAAGAUGUUGAAGUCCUACCUCUCAGGACCUGUGAAUAUGACCUUAUUUGGAAACAUGGUCUUUGCAGAUUAUCAAGUUAAGAUGAAGUCAUAAGGGUGUAUUACUAUGUUCUUAUAAAAAGGGGACAUUUUGACAUAGAGAUAGAUACACAUGGGGAGAACGUCAUAUGAAGAUGAAGGCAGAGAUGGAGGUAAUGCAUCUACAAAUCAAGGAUCAUCAAUGAUUGCCAGCAAACUAUCAAAGAUGAGGAGAGAGGGACGCAACAAAUUCUUCCUUACAGUCCUUGGAAGGAACCAACCCUGCUGCAAACAUUGUGCUUUAGAACUGAGACAAUAAAUUUCUGUUUAAGCCACCCAGUUUGUGGAACUUUGUCACGGUAGCCCUAAGAAACUCAUGUACCUAGGAGUGAAUUUGAACAGAGGUGAUGGUCCCUCACAUUCUAAGGGCCUCAGUUAACAGAGUUAGGCCUUUCGAUUAAUUCAGUGUUUUUUUUUUUAGAGCCAACUGGGUACAAGUCACAAUGGUAAGCACCACAGAGAAAUACAGAGUUAAAGAAGUCUUGGUUUCUGCACUCACUGGGCCUCCAACUUUGGAAGGAAAGAUAUGAUAAGUCCUAAAACAACAUAAUCCAAGUGGGCCCUAGAUUGGAUUUGGACGGACGGAACUGACGAUAGAAAGGGCAUUUCUAUGAAUAUCCAACACUCUGCGUGUCCCUGUCUGAUCAAAGUACAUAAACAGAAAAUCCUGAAAUAGUAUACUUUAAGAAUUUGGACUUCACUUACCCCAAGUAAAUACAAGGAAGAUUUCUGUCUAAGACCCGCUCCACAAAGACGACUUGAGAGCCAGGUAAAUGGCUACAUCUGAACAAAAUACUCAUAGCAGGUGUGUUUUCCACG